This 428-nucleotide ribosomal RNA is filed under the name uncultured bacterium. RNAcentral describes it as "partial 16S ribosomal RNA". It matches the Rfam family "Bacterial small subunit ribosomal RNA", at positions 354 to 796 of the family's 1533-position model. The record is from RNAcentral.
GUGGGGAAUAUUGGGCAAUGGGGGAAACCCUGACCCAGCAACGCCGCGUGAAGGAAGAAGGCUUUCGGGUUGUAAACUUCUUUUACCAGGGACGAAACAAAUGACGGUACCUGGUGAAUAAGCCACGGCUACCUACGUGCCAGCAGCCGCGGUAAUACGUAGGUGGCGAGCGUGAUCCGGAUUUAUUGGGUGUAAAGGGCGUGUAGGCGGGACAGCAAGUCAGAUGUGAAAACCAGAGGCUCAACCUCUGGCCUGCAUUUGAAACUGUUGUUCUUGAGUGUCGGAGAGGUAAUCGGAAUUCCGUGUGUAGCGGUGAAAUGCGUAGAUAUACGGAGGAACACCAGUGGCGAAGGCGGAUUACUGGACGAUAACUGACGCUGAGGCGCGAAAGCGUGGGGAGCAAACAGGAUUAGAUACCCGGGUAGUCC